This 440-nucleotide long non-coding RNA is filed under the name Rosa chinensis. RNAcentral describes it as "sRNA RchiOBHm_Chr1g0347381". The record is from RNAcentral. Lineage: Eukaryota; Viridiplantae; Streptophyta; Magnoliopsida; Rosales; Rosaceae.
GUUGUGCUGGGCGAUGUCAUUGUUGCUGCUCUUACUCAGUAGCGACGACUCUUGUUGAGGAAGAAGCUCGGUGAAAGCAGCGGCUUCUACUGAUGGUUUGGUGGUGGGUCCAGCCACCAGAGGCCGAACAGUGGUGGUGAUUCAGUUUAGGUUGCGAGGGAGGUGGUUUGCUCUAGGCUUAGGCCUGGCUCAGAGUGGAUCUAUUUUAUCUUUUCUAGUCGAAAUUAGUUGGUAAGGAGAAUGAGUUUGGGUUUUAGGCUCUAGGCCCAUUGGCUAAAUUUAUUUUUCUUGCUUCUUUGUUUGAGGCAUCCCUUGAUUUUUUUGAUGAUAUAUGUACAGUAGGUUCAAUCUAGUGGCUAGUAUUGAUGUACACCAAUAGCGGUCUUAGAUAAAUGUACUAUUUUUAUUGGUUGGGUCAUGACGUCAUUCACUUUGAAUAA